Molecule: ribosomal RNA, 1150 nt
Filed under: Salmonella enterica
Lineage: Bacteria; Pseudomonadati; Pseudomonadota; Gammaproteobacteria; Enterobacterales; Enterobacteriaceae
Description: partial 23S ribosomal RNA
Rfam family: Bacterial large subunit ribosomal RNA
Source: RNAcentral
GGUUAAGCGACUAAGCGUACACGGUGGAUGCCCUGGCAGUCAGAGGCGAUGAAGGGCGUGCUAAUCUGCGAUAAGCGCCGGUAAGGUGAUAUGAACCGUUAUAACCGGCGAUACCCGAAUGGGGAAACCCAGUGUGACUCGUCACACUAUCAUUAACUGAAUCCAUAGGUUAAUGAGGCGAACCGGGGGAACUGAAACAUCUAAGUACCCCGAGGAAAAGAAAUCAACCGAGAUUCCCCCAGUAGCGGCGAGCGAACGGGGAGGAGCCCAGAGCCUGAAUCAGCAUGUGUGUUAGUGGAAGCGUCUGGAAAGGCGCGCGAUACAGGGUGACAGCCCCGUACACAAAAGCGCAUGUGUUGUGAGCUCGAUGAGUAGGGCGGGACACGUGGUAUCCUGUCUGAAUAUGGGGGGACCAUCCUCCAAGGCUAAAUACUCCUGACUGACCGAUAGUGAACCAGUACCGUGAGGGAAAGGCGAAAAGAACCCCGGCGAGGGGAGUGAAAAAGAACCUGAAACCGUGUACGUACAAGCAGUGGGAGCACAGGUUUACCUGUGUGACUGCGUACCUUUUGUAUAAUGGGUCAGCGACUUAUAUUCUGUAGCAAGGUUAACCGAAUAGGGGAGCCGGAGGGAAACCGAGUCUUAAUUGGGCGUUAAGUUGCAGGGUAUAGACCCGAAACCCGGUGAUCUAGCCAUGGGCAGGUUGAAGGUUGGGUAACACUAACUGGAGGACCGAACCGACUAAUGUUGAAAAAUUAGCGGAUGACCUGUGGCUGGGGGUGAAAGGCCAAUCAAACCGGGAGAUAGCUGGUUCUCCCCGAAAGCUAUUUAGGUAGCGCCUCGUGAAUUCAUCUCCGGGGGUAGAGCACUGUUUCGGCUAGGGGGCCAUCCCGGCUUACCAACCCGAUGCAAACUGCGAAUACCGGAGAAUGUUAUCACGGGAGACACACGGCGGGUGCUAACGUCCGUCGUGAAGAGGGAAACAACCCAGACCGCCAGCUAAGGUCCCAAAGUCAUGGUUAAGUGGGAAACGAUGUGGGAAGGCCCAGACAGCCAGGAUGUUGGCUUAGAAGCAGCCAUCAUUUAAAGAAAGCGUAAUAGCUCACUGGUCGAGUCGGCCUGCGCGGAAGAUGUAACGGGGCUAAACCAU